GGCAACAGAGCGAGACUCUGUCUCAAAAAAUAAAAUAAAAUAAAAUAAAAUAAAAUAAAAUAGAAAAAAAGUAAAAGAAAUUUCUUAGGCAGAUAAUGAGGGCAAGGAAGUCUUCGGUAAGGUUUUCUUUUUAAUCAAAAGCAGCCCCCAAAUCAUUUCUUUUUCUAACAAAGAGCAGCCUGUAAAAUCGAGCUGCAGACGUAGAUAAGCAAGCUGGAAACUUGCACGGGUGAAUGCUGACAGCUGUGCCGACAGGAAAAUGCUACCUGGGGGCCAAAAUGUCAUGUUCAACUUUUCUUCCCUUUUCUUUGUCAACCACAUGUACAGUAAGGAACAGACAACAUGGCGCCGGCCAGACAGAGACUCCAUCUGCAUAAUAAAAGAUUAGGGUGGAAUGGCCAGCUUUUUCACGCACUAUGCAAACGUCACACCUGGCCCAACCAAUCGCUCAGGCCCUAUGUAAAUCAGACACCACCUUCUCAAUUUCAUCUGUAAAACCCCGCGCACCCCCACCCCGUGCUUUUUACCACAAAACUGGAAGAUCCACUCCGGAGCCUCUCUCUCUGCAGGAAAGAAAGCUAUUCUCUUCUCUUUCUUUCGCCUGUUUAACCUCCACUCUUAAACUCACUUCUUGUGUGUCCGUGUCUUCAAUUUCCCUGGCGUGAGACAAGAAACCUCGGGUAUUUGCCCCAGACAGUGACGCCGCUUCAGCAGGACCUCAGCUUUGACUCUGAGUGAGAUGGGAGCCAUUGGAGAGCUCUGAGUCCAGCCGUGACCUGAUGUGAUUUGUAAAUGAUCCCUCAGGUUGCUGUCUUCAGAAGGCGGAGAGGGUGCAGGUGGGGGCAGGGGCAAAAACAGGGACCCCCCGUUGGGAUGAUCUGCUCUCGGAAGCUUUCCUGGCCCCUCCUCCCCUCAGGUGGAGCUGACCUCUUCCUCUGUUGUUCUCUAGGCUUCCACAACAUUUCCCAUAAUUUAAACACUGACCGUUUACUUGUCUGUCUUCCUCCAGGUCAAUAUAUCCAUAACACCUGACCCAGAACAGGUGCUUGGCAAAGUAUGUUUCCAGCAUGUUCGAUACAAUUGAAAUAACAGCUGGAAUCCAGUAUGCUUGUCAAUGAUCUUUUUUAAAAAUUUAUUUAUUUUUUAGAGACAAGGUCUUGUUUUGUUACCAGGCUGGUACAGUGGUGCCAUCAUAGCUUAUUGUAACCUUGAACCCUCUUGAGGCUCAAGAGAUCCUCCUGCCUCAGCCUCCCAAGUAACUAGGACUACAGACCAUGCCACUAUGCAGAGCAAAUUUUACAAUCUUUUGUAGAGACAGGGUUUCGCUAUGUUUCCCAAGCUGGUCUAGAGCCCCUGGCAUCAAGCAGCCCUCCCGCCGUGGCUUCCCAAAGUGCUGGGAUUAUGGGCAUGUGCCACCGUGCCUGGCCAGGGAUCCUUAACUGCAGGAAACAGAAACCAACUCUGGUUGUCUUUAAAUAAAAAAGAAAACUUGGGAGAUGCCCAAAACCCACAGGAAGUUUGGAGAACUAGGUCUGGACAAAGAACAGGAAGUAGCAGAGAGGUUCUUGGCAGUCAGGCUGUGUGGCUGUGGUGAACAAGUCAACUGCCUCUCCCACCUUGUUUCAAAGUCCUGGGAAGAGCUCUGACUAGAAGGGCUGAGGUCAGGUGUCGACGCUUUGGUCUCACUGGGGCAGGGAGAGGAAGAACUGGGGCAGGGAAAACCUUCAGAGACCCCUUUGGCUUCCAUGAUGGGAGGGCAAGGCUCCCUGAUUUUGUGUCUCACCAAGACUGUGCUGGGAGGAGGCAGGCAAUGGGACGCAAGAGCAGAGAGCUGUGAGGGUGCCCAGUGCCAGCAAAUGUCCAUGACAAUUUCCCAGGGCUGGAAAAGCACAGAGGUACGAGCUGGGAACUGGGAACUGGGGACUGUACAGGAGAUGAGUCUUCCUUGUCUUUGCAUCCCCAGGGCUUAGCACAGCACCUAGUACUCAGAUGCUCAUCUGAUGCUUAUCCCAUGAGUGGAUGGAUGGAGGGAUGAGCUACAAAAACCCAAGGGCUCAGCAUCGAGGGCAGGGGCAGAGUGAGUAGUACCCUAAAACUCUUUCUUAAAAGCCUGAACCCUUGGGGAACUGAGCUGUGUCUAGAAGCGAGAAAAAGUGAAGAGAAGAUUCGUGCAAACGCUCAAGGCACCUUGGCCGGAAGUAGAGGGGAGACCAGACCUCACACUCCUCCAGAACCAGCAGGGUCUCCUGUCCCAGAAAGGAAUGACAGAUGGCAAAAGAUCUGUGGCCCUGGAGCAGUUCUCGGGGAGGUAGUGAGAUCCUCUAGGCUGACCACGUUGAAGUAACAUGAAAACAUUGGCCCUGAAGGGGCUCUGGGGGUGCGGCAAGGACAGCGUCAGAGUGAUGGAUGGUUUUCUGAGGACCAAAUCCUACCACGUGAUGUUGCACAAAGACCUCAGAACUAGGACAUAAAUCCUGGAAGAAGUUACACAUUUAGGCCAGGUGGGGUGGUAAUCCUAGCGGCAUCUGAGGCAGGUGGAUUGUUUGGGCCCAGGAGUUUGAGACCAGCUUGAGCAAGAUAGUGAAACCCCAUCUCUACUAAAAAUACAAAAAUCAGCUGGGUACAGUGGCAUGAACCUGUCAUCCCAGCUACUCGGGAGGCUGAGGCCGGAGAAAUGCUUGAACCCUGGAGGUGGAGGUUGCAGUGAGCCCAGAUGGAACCACUGCACUCCAGCCUGGGCGACAGAGUGAAAUCCUGUCUCCAAAAAAUAAAGAAAGAAAGAAGUUACAUAUUUUUCCCCACCAGCCUAAUGGCAAAGGAACUCCGAAUCAGAAAUGGGGCACAGGUACAGAAAAACAAGAAAGUUGUUCUGCCUGCCCACUGGAGCUGUCCCGGCACUAAGUGAAGGCCUGCCAUGUGUGUCUAAGGCCUGGAGCCAGCCCAGAGGCUGCACUUGCAUCUCUCAGCCCUCUCCCUGCUCGUCUCUGUGCCUCUUCAGUCCAGUGCUUCCUCCUUCCCAGGCCCCAUCUGUUCUGUAGUUUUCUCUCAACCUGGCUUCCUGGGAAGGGCUGCAGCCAUGUUUGAGGAGCCCAGUAAAACACCCCCCAGGGCUGUUGCCUUCUUCCUCCAGGCUAACUGAAUUCUUGCAGGGGCUGGAAAGAGGUGGGUGGGAGGACAGGGCAGGCUGAUCUGGAGAGUCUGGCUUCCUGGGCCCCGGCAGAGCAAUGUGACCUGAUCCCACACUUGGCCAAGGCAGCUGCAGACAUUUGCAAAGUGACAAGAGGAGAGGAGGGACCUAAGAAGAAAACAGCAUUUGCACAGCACAUGGAAGUGCCUGGAAAUGUUUUCUGGACACAUUAUUCUUCUCUAGGGUGAUUUUCAAGGCCAACCAAGCCUGGAGACUAAAGCUUCCAGAGAUAUUUUCGCAUGUCUGACACCCAUGGCUCCACCUGGACCUGAAGGCUCCUGUGACCCCACCCAGGAGUGACUCAGUUCAAGACAACAGCUUUAACCCCCUCUGAUUUCAUCUCCACUCCAACCAAUCAGCAGCAAGCACCCAUUGCCUGGCCACCCCCACCCUUUACCCAAACUGCCUUUGAGCCUUGGAGGAGAUUGAUUUGAGUGAUAACUCCGUCUCCUGUGUGGCAUGGCUGGCUACAAGUCAAUUAAAUUCUUUCCUUACUGCUA
This is a non-coding RNA of Chlorocebus sabaeus (green monkey), 3687 nucleotides long. The record is from RefSeq and is a predicted model, not a curated record. Lineage: Eukaryota; Metazoa; Chordata; Mammalia; Primates; Cercopithecidae.